UUGGAGGGCAAGUCUGGUGCCAGCAGCCGCGGUAAUUCCAGCUCCAAUAGCGUAUAUUAAAGUUGUUGCAGUUAAAAAGCUCGUAGUUGAAUUUCGGGAUCAAUUUAUUGGUCGUGCUAUUGUACGUACUGGUAUUAUUGAUUCCUACCUUCUGACGAACCAUGAUGUCAUUAAUUUGGUGUCAUGGGGAAUCAGGACUGUUACUUUGAAAAAAUUAGAGUGUUUAAAGCAGGCUCACGCUUGAAUACAUUAGCAUGGAAUAACGAAAUAGGACGUUUGAUUCUAUUUUGUUGGUUUCUAGGAUCGACGUAAUGAUUAAUAGGGAUAGUUGGGGGCAUUAGUAUUCAAUUGUCAGAGGUGAAAUUCUUGGAUUUAUUGAAGACUAUUUACUGCGAAAGCAUUUGCCAAGGAUGUUUUCAUUAAUCAAGAACGAAAGUUAGGGGAUCGAAGACGAUCAGAUACCGUCGUAGUCCUAACCAUAAACUAUGCCGACUAGGGAUCGGAUGAUGUUAAUUUUUCUUGACUCGUUCGGCGCCUUACGGGAA
This 545-nucleotide ribosomal RNA is filed under the name uncultured Glomeromycotina. Its description in RNAcentral is "SSU rRNA". It matches the Rfam family "Eukaryotic small subunit ribosomal RNA", at positions 548 to 1096 of the family's 1831-position model. The record is from RNAcentral. Lineage: Eukaryota; Fungi; Glomeromycota.